RNAcentral lists this ribosomal RNA (439 nucleotides) under uncultured bacterium. Its description in RNAcentral is "partial 16S ribosomal RNA". It matches the Rfam family "Bacterial small subunit ribosomal RNA", at positions 339 to 795 of the family's 1533-position model. The record is from RNAcentral.
CUACGGGGUGCAGCAGUGGGGAAUAUUGCACAAUGGAGGAAACUCUGAUGCAGCAACGCCGCGUGGAGGAUGACACUUUUCGGAGCGUAAACUCCUUUUAUAUAGGAAGAAGAUGACGGUACUAUAUGAAUAAGCGCCGGCUAACUCCGUGCCAGCAGCCGCGGUAAUACGGAGGGCGCAAGCGUUACUCGGAAUCACUGGGCGUAAAGAGCGUGUAGGCGGGUAGUUAAGUUGGAAGUGAAAUCCUAUGGCUCAACCAUAGAACUGCUUCCAAAACUGAUUACCUAGAAUAUGGGAGAGGUAGAUGGAAUUUCUGGUGUAGGGGUAAAAUCCGUAGAGAUCAGAAGGAAUACCGAUUGCGAAGGCGAUCUACUGGAACAUUAUUGACGCUGAGACGCGAAAGCGUGGGGAGCAAACAGGAUUAGAUACCCUCGUAGUC